RNAcentral lists this ribosomal RNA (468 nucleotides) under uncultured bacterium. RNAcentral describes it as "partial 16S ribosomal RNA". It matches the Rfam family "Bacterial small subunit ribosomal RNA", at positions 28 to 507 of the family's 1533-position model. The record is from RNAcentral.
GACGAACGCUGGCGGCGUGCUUAACACAUGCAAGUCGAACGAAAAGGCCCUGCUUUUGUGGGGUGCUCGAGUGGCGAACGGGUGAGUAACACGUGAGUAACCUGCCCUUGACUUUGGGAUAACUUCAGGAAACUGGGGCUAAUACCGGAUAGGAGCUCCUGCUGCAUGGUGGGGGUUGGAAAGUUUCGGCGGUUGGGGAUGGACUCGCGGCUUAUCAGCUUGUUGGUUGGGUAGUGGCUUACCAAGGCUUUGACGGGUAGCCGGCCUGAGAGGGUGACCGGCCACAAUAGGACUGAGAGACGGCCCAGACUCCUACGGGAGGCAGCAGUGGGGAAUAUUGCACAAUGGGCGGAAGCCUGAUGCAGCAACGCCGCGUGCGGGAUGACGGCCUUCGGGUUGUAAACCGCAUUCGCCUGUGACGAAGCGUGAGUGACGGUAAUAGGUAAAGAAGCACCGGCUAACUACGUG